UUAAGUUCAGCGGGUAUUCCUACCUGAUCCGAGGUCAACCAGAAAAAUUUGGGGGUUUUACGGCCGGGGGGGCAGCACCUAACAAAAGCGAGAUAAAAAAUUACUACGCUCAGAGGACUACUGCCACUCCGCCAAUUUCUUUGGGGAACUACGGAGGCCGUAGAGUCCCAACAGUAAGCUGUGCUUAGGGGUUGAAAUGA
This 200-nucleotide unclassified non-coding RNA is filed under the name Nigrospora sp. RNAcentral's name for it is "partial internal transcribed spacer 2". The record is from RNAcentral. Lineage: Eukaryota; Fungi; Ascomycota; Sordariomycetes; Amphisphaeriales; Apiosporaceae.